Molecule: RNA transcript, 2544 nt
Organism: Pristis pectinata (smalltooth sawfish)
Lineage: Eukaryota; Metazoa; Chordata; Chondrichthyes; Rhinopristiformes; Pristidae
Gene name: class I histocompatibility antigen, F10 alpha chain-like
Exons: 8
Source: RefSeq, a predicted model, not a curated record
UUCUGAUUGGACACACCCCUCGGUCGGACGCAGCAGCCGGUUUGUUUCACUUUGGUUGAGCUCCGGGUCCCAGACAUGGAGGGGACGGGCCCCCUGAGGGUGGGGCUGACAGUGUUGGUCCUCCUGUGUGGAGGGGUCUCCGCAGGCUCUCGCUUUCUUCGAUUCUUCCUGACAUCCACAACUCCGAUUCCCGGUUUUCCACAGGUUGUGGUUGUCGGUUCCGUGGACGGUGUCCAGUUCAUGAUGUACGACAGUGAUCGGAAGUUGGUUCCCCAGGACCAGUGGAUGGGGGGGAGUGAGGGGGCCGAGUGGUGGAUGAGGAAGCUGGAACUUCUCGGGUUCCGUGAGAUGCCCAUGAAAGAAUUUAUGUCGUUCGUAAUGUCUCAGACCAACCAGUCGAGCGGAAUCCACACCCUCCAGGGGAUAUUCGGCUGUGACCUGAGGGAAGAUGGGACCACGAACGGCUUCGUCCAGUACGGCUGGGACGGAGAGGACCUGAUCAACUUCAACAAGGGCCGCAUGAUGUGGGUGUCGUCAGUACCAUGGGGAAUGGGCAUUCAACACCAAUGCAAUGUUAAUGUGGGCCGCUUUCAGAAAUGGAAGGACUUCCUGGAGAGGGAUUGUGUCGAGUGGCUGAGGAGAUUCGUGGAGUACGGAGAGAGGGAACUGCGAGUGGUGCCCCCCCAGGUGACCUUCACCCCUUCGGCCCACAACCCCCACCUCUCCUGCUUGGCCACCGGCUUCCACCCCCCGUCCAUCGAGGUGACCCUGUGGAGGGACGGGACCAUCCUCCAUGAGGCCCACUCCAGCGGGCUCCUGCCCAAUCACGACGGGACCCACCAGAUCCGGAAGUGGGUGCAGGUCGAUCCCGAGGACCCGGGACAGUUCUCCUGUCGAGUGGAGCACAGCGGACUAGAGGAUCCCAUCGUCCUGGUUUACGUGCGGGGGACUCACUCCCGGCUCCCACUCAUCCUCGGGCUCCUGGUCGCUCUCAUCGCUCUCACCAUCGCUGUCGGCGCCGUCUACAGGUGGCGAGCGGGAGUGAAGAGGAACUACAAUCCCACACCGACUUCAGACGGUGCAGGAUCCUCGGCCGGUUCCACCGCCAGCGAGUGAUGUACGAAUGGUGUUGAUGGACACUGUGCUCCGACACCACUGGGCUCCCACCUGGCUCAGUACGGAUGCUCCUUACUGUAUCGUCUCAGUGUGCCCCUUCGUUCCCCCGUGAUCGGACCGGCGGACGGAGAAGAUCUCGGAGACGACAGAGAGACUCCGGGUAUGAUUCACCUCGUCGCUCUGAGCUAAAACUUCAUGCAGAAGACAAACCCUCCAGGUGUGAUGUCUGUGGAUCUGUGUUGGUUCCAUCGGCUCCCACACACUGCAGGUGCUGUACACAACCUGCCCUGCCGUCCUCGACUGAACUGUUGUGGAUUUUUAUAAUGUGGUGAACACUACACUUAUUCCCCACAGUCCCUUCCAUUCCAUCCCACCCCUCACCUACACAUCCCUCCAGACUGAUCCGAUGUGAUGAGCCUACCUCCACCCACCGGUGUCCCCCACCUUCCCCAGUUCUGAUGCACGGUCAUUGGGCUGAAAUGUGACUGCCAUUUCCCUCUCCACGGAUGCUGCCCGACCCACUGAGUAUCCCCAGCGUGCAGGGUUUUAUUUCGGAACGCCUGCCCUUUGGUGCGUGGGUCUGGUGGGCUUCAGUGGGAGUGGGGGGAGGUUACUGCUGGUGGUCACGGGGGAGGGGUGGUGAUGGGAGGGGAGGGAUGGUGGGGGGAUGUGGAGGGGGAGCAGAAGGGUCUGAGGGUGGAGAGGGGAUGGAGGUGGUGGACGGGAGGUGUGUGGUUGGGAGGGGUGCAGUGACCCUGGGUCCGACCGUUUGAUUAACUCUGAUGUGACUGGUUUCUCUUCCACAGCGACCUGACUGGCGGUCGGAGAGGACGAGAAACUCCCUGCAGAGAGAACCGAGAGACUCCGGGAAUAUUUCCGCUCAUCGCUCCGAGCCGAAGAUCCGUGAUACCCUCCAGUUGUGGUCUCCGUGGAUCACCACGGCAUUGGACCAUGGGGCAGGUGUGUCGGACGUGUCCAGCCGUUGGACAUCUCCAGGUGGCCAGACUGUGCUGAAGGAGACAGAAAAACCGAGCAACACGACGACAGACAGAAAUGGCCAGUGCAGAUCGAGUGAAAGUGUGUGUAUCUGCUGGAUAUGGUUGGAUAUGAUGGAUGUGUGGGACAUUGGGCAUGUUGGCCAUUGGGCAUGUUGGACAUUGGACACUGGACGUGGAUGUGACCAAUACAGAGAGAAUAAAAGAGUGCAUUUACUUGUUGGAUUUGGUUCAUCAUCUCCGAUCCCAUUGACAACAGAGGAGGUGCUGGCAGUCUUAAAGCAUAUCACAGAAGAUAAAUAUAUACCAUAUAUUUGCACCAUAGAAAGCAUCUGAUCUGGAUGCAUCUCGGCUUGGUACGGCAACUGCUCCGCCCAGGACCACAAGAAACUGUAGAGAGUUGUGGACACAGCCCAGCACGUCACAGAAACCA